GGCUAUUGGCCUCCCUCCCCUGAACCAUUUGAGACCUUGACUGAGGCUCAGGCCCCGGGUGAAGGUGUCCUUCUGGCCCAGGCUCUGCUCUGCUCCCUGCCCUGAAACGAUUAUCCAGCAGAUUAAACUUAUCUCUGUUGGCUCCUGGCACAGGGGCUCUGAGCCAAGGUGGCUUGCUCCAGCCUCCACACCCAGUGCCAGGCAGCUGCAGGAUUGAGUCUCCAGCUCAGAGCCCCCAAGAACACAUCUCCUCUGCGCCAGGCGUGCAGCUCUGGGUAUGAAUCUCCAGGCUCAGCUCUGACCACCGGUGUGGAUCCAGCCUCCAUGGUGGGAGUAGGGUGGGGGGCGGAAGUGGUGUUAAGAGCAGGAGCUGGGGGUUUCCAGGUGCUUUUCCAUUGACACAACCAGUCCAAGCAGCCUGAGCUUCUUCCUAGCAAACUCAGAAACUGUUUUGUGUUUCUCAUCAACCCACUGGAAUGGAUCCACCGAGGGGAUGGAGUGACCCCACUUCCACACUGGAUACCAGAUGUUGCCACAUAAGGCCUCUGGCCAGCGUGUGCAUGAAGCCAGGUCAGGAAACAGAGGCCCGGAGACAUGAAAUAACUCACUGGGGGUCCCAUGACUAACUGCCUGCUGGCCCCAAGUCAGGUGGUUUCCCACUGCUGGAAAAAUUGAGGUGUAGGAAUUUACAGUGAGAAGAAGGAUCAUCCUGGGAGGGUGGGAGUCAAAAUAAAAAAGGUGUUUCCUAGGGGCGGGGCUGGAGGUGCCAGUGAUGGAAGCUCGGAGCUCCAGGCUGACUCUCCUUGCUGAUACAGGAGCAGAGAGACCCGAGGGUCAGAGGGGUUCCCCAGGGAGUGCUCCAGGACCUCCAUGUAGUCCUCAGUGGCCCCCUGCUGCUCCCCCUGCAGGAGGCAGAGCGUGGCCCACAGGUAGCAGGUGAUGAGGAGGGCAGAUUGGCAAGGAAGAUGUUGCCGGGUGACCUGCUCUUCCUUCAGGCAUCCUCUGGGUACCCGGCCCCUCUGGACCCUGCUGCAGGGCAGGACCAGCCACGAGCGGCCCCCUCUCCUCAGAGCCCAGCUUGUGCCAUCAUCAAGCCAGUGGUUUUUGGGAUCCACCACCCCUCUGCCCUGGGAGUCGGAGAAGUGGAGAGAUGCACACGGCAAAGGCAAGAAUGAGGACUCAUCAGUGGCCAUGCAAAAGCAGCAUCCAUGCGGUUGUGAGAAGAGGGAGAAGGGGCGAAUAAUGCAGGGAAACAGAAGCAGAGGCACAAACCCAGGCUGGGAAUCAUGCUUCCUGGAAUCCCCUUUCCCCCGUGGUCCUAGGGGGCAAGUGUGUCCAUGA
RNAcentral lists this long non-coding RNA (1341 nucleotides) under Capra hircus (goat). RNAcentral's name for it is "lncRNA (ENSCHIG00000001749.1)". The record is from RNAcentral. Lineage: Eukaryota; Metazoa; Chordata; Mammalia; Artiodactyla; Bovidae.